CCUACGGGUGGCAGCAGUAGGGAAUAUUGCUCAAUGGGGGAAACCCUGAAGCAGCAACGCCGCGUGGAGGAUGAAGGUUUUCGGAUUGUAAACCCCUGUCAUGUGGGAGCAAAUUAAAAAGAUAGUACCACAAGAGGAAGAGACGGCUAACUCUGUGCCAGCAGCCGCGGUAAUACAGAGGUCUCAAGCGUUGUUCGGAAUCACUGGGCGUAAAGCGUGCGUAGGCUGUUUCGUAAGUCGGGUGUGAAAGGCGCGGGCCCAACCCGCGGACGGCACAUGAUACUGCGAGACUAGAGUAAUGGAGGGGGAACCGGAAUUCUCGGUGUAGCAGUGAAAUGCGUAGAUAUCGAGAGGAACACUCGUGGCGAAGGCGGGUUCCUGGACAUUAACUGACGCUGAGGCACGAAGGCCAGGGGAGCGAAAGGGAUUAGAUACCCUAGUAGUC
RNAcentral lists this ribosomal RNA (445 nucleotides) under uncultured bacterium. RNAcentral describes it as "partial 16S ribosomal RNA". It matches the Rfam family "Bacterial small subunit ribosomal RNA", at positions 338 to 795 of the family's 1533-position model. The record is from RNAcentral.